Molecule: non-coding RNA, 72 nt
Organism: Trametes punicea
Lineage: Eukaryota; Fungi; Basidiomycota; Agaricomycetes; Polyporales; Polyporaceae
Source: the annotation of a GenBank genome assembly
GCCGGGAUAGCUCAGCUGGGAGAGCAACAGACUGAAUUCUGGAGGUCGCGUGUUCAAUCCACGCUCCUGGCA